This 459-nucleotide ribosomal RNA is filed under the name uncultured bacterium. RNAcentral's name for it is "partial 16S ribosomal RNA". It matches the Rfam family "Bacterial small subunit ribosomal RNA", at positions 338 to 795 of the family's 1533-position model. The record is from RNAcentral.
CCUACGGGUGGCAGCAGUGAGGAAUAUUGGUCAAUGGCCGGAAGGCUGAACCAGCCAUGCCGCGUGAAGGGCAGGGGCCUAGGGGCGGGAAACGUCGUGUGUGCGGGAGCAAGAAUGGUCACGUGUGGCCAGACGAGAGUACCGUACGAAUAAGCAUCGGCUAACUCCGUGCCAGCAGCCGCGGUAAUACGGGGGAUGCAAGCGUUAUCCGGAUUUACUGGGUCUAAAGGGGGCGCAGACGGCGAUGCAAGCCAGGAGUGAAAGCCCGGGGCCCAACCCCGGGACUGCUCUUGGAACUGCGUGGCUGGAGUGCAGGAGGGGCAGGCGGAAUUCCUGGUGUAUCGGUGAAAUGCGUAGAUAUCAGGAGGAACACCGGUGGCGAAGGCGGCCUGCUGGACUGCAACUGACGUUGAGGCCCGAAAGCGUGGGGAGCAAACAGGAUUAGAUACCCCGGUAGUC